CUUCCCACUUUUCCCCCAAAACUUUUACUCCCCUCCCCUUCCAACCCCCUAAUCUACCCAAAAUCCAUUUCCCACCAAAAUUUUACUCCCCAAAACCCUCAAAACCUUUUAUUUUUCCACAAAAUUUUUACUUCCUCCCACUUUUCCCCUAAAACUUUUAUUCCCUUCCUAUCCCACCUCCCAUCUACCCCAAACCCUCCCCCCUCCAAUUUUUUUUUAAUAUUUUCUCUCCAAAAUUUUACUCCCCCUAUUUACUUUCCCUCAAACUUUUAUUCCCCAAAACUUUUUAUUUUCCC
Molecule: long non-coding RNA, 296 nt
Filed under: Gossypium raimondii (Peruvian cotton)
Lineage: Eukaryota; Viridiplantae; Streptophyta; Magnoliopsida; Malvales; Malvaceae
Description: long non-coding RNA (GRAI_LNC001082)
Source: RNAcentral